This 546-nucleotide long non-coding RNA is filed under the name Helianthus annuus (common sunflower). RNAcentral's name for it is "hypothetical non coding rna". Lineage: Eukaryota; Viridiplantae; Streptophyta; Magnoliopsida; Asterales; Asteraceae. The record is from RNAcentral.
AUGGUUGAUGUAGUUUUUGCCAUUCGUCGUACCCGUAUCGUCCCCGUACCCCAGUCCCGUAUCCGUAUCCGUGCUACGUAGCUCACCCCUGACCCUAUCAACAACUAUGCUAUAAAGUGGAUUAAACUGGUUACAUUUAUCUGUUAUUCUUGCAAAAUUGAAGAGCAAGAUUGUAUUUGUGGUUCAAAUCAAAUAAAUGUUAUGCAGGGGAGAUCGGGAACUAUGAUUCAUAUAAAAAGAACCAGAACGCGUCAUUUACACAAUUUGAUGAAGCAUAAAUAAUGACUUGUUCCCCAUGGAAAUCCAGUCCCGAUCAUAUCAAGUAUAUCAGUUUACCUGACCUGAUAUUGGUAGUAAGUUCACAUGCCUGAUGCGACAUAUUCAUCUGUUAUGACUUCUGGAUUUAGGCAAGCAGCAGCUUCACAAUUCAAUGCAGCGAAAAAACAAGUUACAUGUGAGUAAACUGAGUAUAAAUUCAUCAUCAAAGGGGGUGUUUGGAUGUGUAUUUUGAAACAGGUUAUGUGAUAUUUAACAGUUAAACUCAAA